GACAGAGGGUGCAAACGUUGUUCGGAAUUACUGGGCGUAAAGCGCGUGUAGGCGGCUAAGUAAGUCGGGCGUGAAAUCCCACGGCUCAACCGUGGAAGUGCACUCGAAACUGCAUAGCUAGAGUCCUGGAGAGGAAGGUGGAAUGCUUGGUGUAGAGGUGAAAUUCGUAGAUAUCAAGCAGAACACCGGUGGCGAAGGCGGCCUUCUGGACAGUGACUGACGCUGAGACGCGAAAGCGUGGGGAGCAAACAGG
RNAcentral lists this ribosomal RNA (253 nucleotides) under uncultured bacterium. RNAcentral describes it as "partial 16S ribosomal RNA". It matches the Rfam family "Bacterial small subunit ribosomal RNA", at positions 524 to 776 of the family's 1533-position model. The record is from RNAcentral.